UACGUAGGGUGCAAGCGUUAAUCGGAAUUACUGGGCGUAAAGCGUGCGCAGGCGGUUAUGCAAGGCAGAUGUGAAAUCCCCGGGCUCAACCUGGGAACUGCAUUUGUGACUGCAUGGCUAGAGUACGGUAGAGGGGGAUGGAAUUCCGCGUGUAGCAGGGAAAUGCGUAGAUAUGCGGAGGAACACCGAUGGCGAAGGCAAUCCCCUGGGCCUGCACUGACGCUCAUGCACGAAAGCGUGGGGAGCAAACAGG
Molecule: ribosomal RNA, 253 nt
Filed under: uncultured bacterium
Lineage: Bacteria
Description: partial 16S ribosomal RNA
Rfam family: Bacterial small subunit ribosomal RNA
Source: RNAcentral